UGCACCGUUUACUUACCUUUCAUGUAUUAUAAUUUUUGUACGUACGUACUGAUCAUGAUCUCCUUGCCUAGCUAGCUAGCUAGGAUUAUUAUAUUUAUAAAUGCUUGCAUGCAUUGCGCAACAUAUAUGACACCCGUUUUCCUCCAACCACCUUCAUAUUUCAGAAGUAGUACUGACCCAUAUAUAACCCUCCAUCUACAACUACUGAUCAAACUGCAAAAUACAGAGGAAAAAAAAAAAAAAAACCAAGAAGAAGAAAGGGAUCGAUGUCAGCAGUACCACUCCAUCGAUCUUCAAUCUCUUUUCGUUUUUGUAUUUGAGAAAGGUGAUGCCAGUGGAAGUCGUGGGUUUUCAAGGUGAUAGAUGUAGCAGUAGCAGUAGCAGUACUAGUGCUUGCAUGUGAUCGGAAGUGUGCAAGAUAACAUACGGCCAAUUAAUCAUGCACGCCAAAAUCAGCCACCUACUUUUGAACGGUGUAUGUGCUGGAUCGAAGCUACGUACGUACACAUGAUGAUGCAUAUAUGUUUUAUAUAUUGUGGGGGAACAUACUCUUUUAAAUAAGGGAUUAGAAGACAAUUAAAUCAAGCAUAGUUAGAAUCUCCAUAUUAAUUUAUA
Long non-coding RNA from Carya illinoinensis, 615 nucleotides. RefSeq lists it as uncharacterized. The record is from RefSeq and is a predicted model, not a curated record. Lineage: Eukaryota; Viridiplantae; Streptophyta; Magnoliopsida; Fagales; Juglandaceae. The transcript is spliced from 2 exons.